UCCUAGCCCAGAUUGAAGAGAAAAGCCCGGAGCAAAAAAAGCCAAUUUUUCUUGCCGGAAAACAGCGACCAACGGAAGCUCGUUUUAUGGCUUAGAAAAAUUAGCUUUUUUUGUGAGGACUUGAAACGAAAAGCUAGAUCAGCU
Molecule: unclassified non-coding RNA, 144 nt
Filed under: Flavobacterium saccharophilum
Lineage: Bacteria; Pseudomonadati; Bacteroidota; Flavobacteriia; Flavobacteriales; Flavobacteriaceae
Description: Flavo-1 RNA
Source: RNAcentral